RNAcentral lists this long non-coding RNA (624 nucleotides) under Pongo abelii (Sumatran orangutan). Its description in RNAcentral is "lincRNA". The record is from RNAcentral. Lineage: Eukaryota; Metazoa; Chordata; Mammalia; Primates; Hominidae.
ACAAGAACUGAAAGGCUGGAGCUGGGGUCCAUGAAAAGUGAUGGCAGAGGUGGCAGGAGGUGGCGGUACAGCAGCCACCGGGAUCCCCAGGCUGGAGGGCGGAAGCCCCUUGCACAUCCUGAUGGCUAAUCUUCCUCCUGAGGAAGUUCACUCUCUCUACUUUGCGUCUGUUCCCAGUCACCUGAGCACUGAGCAUCAAUAGUGAGAAGCUACAGGAGGCUGAGCGGCUGUUGACGCCCAGGACUGUGGGCAGCACCUUGCAGGGGGAAACCCGCUUCCUCCGGUCUCCCAGAAGAACAGUUCUGGCCUUCUCUCCUCUCUCCAGGCCUCCAGCUCUUCCCCAUCCCUGCUCUUGGCGGAGGACUGGCUUCUGUUUUCACUGAAGAAAUCACAGCCUCCUGAGAGGACUUCCCCAGACACAGCCCUCCCCUGUGCCCGCCCCUCCUCCACAUCCCCACCUUCCAUGCCCAGGGCAGCAAACCACCCCCCAUCUGCUCGGGGACAUCAACAGGCUCCCUGUUUCCUGAAUCUUCAGUUUCUCCUUCCUGCUUGAUUCCCAUCCACAAACUUACCAUUAUUUUUCUUGUCUUUAAAGGAAAAAUAAAACUUUUGCUUUUUAUCCAA